UCUUUAUGUUGAACAGAAACUGCUCUGUAAGAGAGAAGUAUUUUGUAGCUAGAUACCUUCAGGCUUGAGCAACUAUUGAAUGUGGAUUCUUAAGUCUCAAGAUUUCUGCUUUUUUUGGAGUUGGAUUGGCUGCAUUCUCCAAAUGAUUGCUGGAGUCGUGGGCAGUUCCAAGUGGUAGACAUCUCAUAGGUUGCACCAAAGACAAGGAUGCUGCUCUUGAACAUGUCUGUCAAGCUUCCUUGGCCCUGACUCGUCAGUCACCUCCAUCUUUGAAAUGUGAUUGUAUUCAAGAUGGCUUAGAAAACUAAAUGUGGAUAGAAUGACUCAUGUUGUCCUGAAUUCGGAUGACGGUCUCUGAAGACUCCUGAUAGUACAUCAUGAAAAUUUUAUAUGGGCUGUGUCUGAAGCAAACUUGCUUAUCUACUUGAAGUGACUUUUUUUACAGAUUCAAAAUGUUUCAGUUAUUUCAACAUAUUAGUGAGCACUUGGUUUACCUCAUCUAUCUUUACUUGCCAGAAAAGGUUUUAUGUUUCAGUUCUUCUGGGAGAAUUUGAGAGUAAAGGUAACAACAGUGAAAUCCUCCAGGUGCAGCUAACAGAGCUCUUACAAUUCUAUCUCACUUCUAGCAGUUGGUUGGAAUGGAGUUUUUGUGGCUAAAAUUGUAUUUAAUACUGUAUCUUGAUUCUACUUCCCAUCUCCUCCCCUUUUGUUUGGGUCAGUUGAGUGUUCAGGAACAAAAAUCCAUAUUACAAGUGUCUUUUUUCAAAUGAGAAUUCUUCAAGGAGAUAGACUUGACCCUAUUUGUCUCAUGUCAUUGAGACCCUGGUUUUGAGAAAGACCUCUAAACACUACUGCAGUUUGAAUAAAUACAGCAGGUGGGGUGUGUGGGUUUUUUUUAAAUCACUGUUAAAAGAAAAAAAAAAAGGUUCACCUUGCAGUAUGAAGUGAUGCUGAAAACAGUGUUAUUUUUAUAUCAUCCAUUCAACAGUACAGGAACACUCCCUUCCUGCCUAUCCCGUUAAUUAUUUUGAAGAGACGAACUCUAUGACAUAAAGCAGAAAACACUAUCUACCUGCAAAAGACAGAUGUACAGUGGGAUCUGAAGAAAACUCCAGUCUCACUUUUCAUAAGUUUGCUUACAAAUUGGUCAUUCAGACAUCAAGUGUAGACAGCCAAACGCACAGCUUAUCUGCAGAGCUGCUUCCCUUGGCUCCACUGUAGCCUUAUCGUUCAUUCUUUCAGAAAAAGAAACCCCAGGAAUUCACAGACAAACCCUUCAGUGUGAUCAGCUGCCCUUUUCACCAUAGAUGUUAUAUGAAACUGAAUUGUGAUAACAUCUUGAUGCCUUGCAAAAAUUAAGCUUAUUACAUGUAGGCAAUUACUUUAAUCAACAGUAUUUCCUAACCUUUUGAAGGAAGAAAGUCAUGCUUUUUUCCAGACCAGUUGUUUCUAAAACCACAUAACUGGGCAUUAAAUAUUUUUCCAUACUUAGUCAGUUGCAGCAGUUUUGUUAUUCCGCCAAGAACUGAGUUUCAGCAGUUGGUCUGUUGUUACCUGAUUCAUCCCUCUUGGCUUUCUUAUUAUGGGCACAACAUUGGCUCUCUUAUAAUCUUCUGGAUUUUCUCCAGUUUUUCCUGACUUAUUAGAAAAUUAACACUAUCAAAUGAGAUCUCUGCCUCUGCAUUUUUAGUGUUCUUUGAUACAUUCCAGUCCCCAGCUUUUCUGACUAAAAAAUGUUUAUCCCCUGUAAAAACUUUCUUAGCAUACGACCUAAUAAUUUAUUGUAAACGAAGUUUGUCUUCUUCAAUAUCUUGUACAGUCUGCCUCCUGUAUCCCUGCACAAUAAAAGACCCUUUGUACCUUU
Molecule: long non-coding RNA, 1864 nt
Organism: Gallus gallus (chicken)
Lineage: Eukaryota; Metazoa; Chordata; Aves; Galliformes; Phasianidae
Source: Ensembl